CUAUACAUGACUCUGCGCAUAUCAAUAAGCGGAGGAAAAGAAACUAACAAGGAUUCCCUAGUAACGGCGAGUGAAGCGGGAAGAGCUCAAAUUUGAAAUCUUAAAGGUUUUCCCUUGACGAAUUGUAGUUUAAAGAAGUGUUUUCUGUUGAAGUUUUGGUAAAAGUUCUUUGGAAUAGGACAUCAUAGAGGGUGAGAAUCCCGUAUUUGACCAUUACUUUCAGCUUUGUGAUACACUUUCAAAGAGUCGGAUUGUUUGGGAAUGCAGUCCAAAAUGGGUGGUAAAUUUCAUCUAAAGCUAAAUAUUGGCGAGAGGCCGAUAGCGAACAAGUACCGUGAGGGAAAGAUGAAAAGAACUUUGAAAAGAGAGUUAAACAGUACGUGAAAUUGUCAAAAGGGAAGCGUUUGACACCAGUGUUGUUUUUCUGAAAAUCAAUUAAAGAACUGUUUAUGCUAAGUUGUUUAGACUUUAUCAGCUAACUGUUUAGUUUUGAGCUUUUCUUUAAUGCACUUUUCAGUUAACAAGUCAACAUCAAUUUCUUUUGCUGUAAAAAAGCUUGAGGAAGGUGGCUUGAGAUUCGUCUUAAGUGUUUAUAGCCUCUUGCCUAUGCAGUCGGAGAGAUUGAGGUUUGCAGCGUAGAUCCUUCGGGGCUAAAUGCAUUUGUGCUAAGUUAUAGCAUUUUAUAGACAACUUGUUGACUAUGAUUUGUCUUGUAGCUUACUCGCUUAUGUUAUUUUACCUACGCUUAGGAUGUUGACAGCAGUAUAGACUGU
RNAcentral lists this ribosomal RNA (773 nucleotides) under uncultured Neocallimastigales. RNAcentral describes it as "partial large subunit ribosomal RNA". It matches the Rfam family "Eukaryotic large subunit ribosomal RNA", at positions 22 to 637 of the family's 3401-position model. Lineage: Eukaryota; Fungi; Neocallimastigomycota; Neocallimastigomycetes; Neocallimastigales. The record is from RNAcentral.